ACCAGACUCCUACGGGAGGCAGCAGUGAGGAAUAUUGGUCAAUGGGCGGAAGCCUGAACCAGCCAAGUCGCGUGAGGGAAGACGGUCCUAUGGAUUGUAAACCUCUUUUGUCGGGGAGCAAAAGACGCCACGUGUGGCGUUCCGAGAGUACCCGAAGAAAAAGCAUCGGCUAACUCCGUGCCAGCAGCCGCGGUAAUACGGAGGAUGCGAGCGUUAUCCGGAUUUAUUGGGUUUAAAGGGUGCGUAGGCGGAAUGCCAAGUCAGCGGUAAAAUCGCGGGGCUCAACCUCGCUCCGCCGUUGAAACUGGCGUUCUUGAGUGGGCGAGAAGUAUGCGGAAUGCGUGGUGUAGCGGUGAAAUGCAUAGAUAUCACGCAGAACUCCGAUUGCGAAGGCAGCAUACCGGCGCCCAACUGACGCUGAAGCACGAAAGCGUGGGUAUCGAACAGGAUUAGAUACCCGUGUAG
Molecule: ribosomal RNA, 465 nt
Filed under: uncultured bacterium
Lineage: Bacteria
Description: bacterial SSU rRNA
Rfam family: Bacterial small subunit ribosomal RNA
Source: RNAcentral